GGAAGGAUCAUUACAGAUUCAAGAUAGGAGCCAGCAGGGCGCCGCCAGCGGUGGGGACCACACGGGGGAAAACUUUCCCCCGCCCCAGCCGGGCGGCGUCACUCUGGCCGACUGAGAGCGCGAUCGCAUGGGCUUCUUUGCGUUUAUUUCGAAUGCUGAGAAACAGGCAGUCGUUCGAGCCAUCGGGGUGCAACAAAUCCCCGGAGGUCUCGGCGGCUGGUACCGGCGGUUAAAUUCCAUGAAGACGGAGCAUAGACAGCUAACCCCUCUUGUCGCUUGCCGCAAAAAAAGAAGUCCCCCGGGACCCCGGCCUUACAGAGGGACGCUUUGCUCUAGAGAGGUCAUCUGCGUACUUGGACCGAGAGGCCCGCAUCAUCGUUCAACUCACCCGUCCGAAGGUGGGGCGCCGGUGCGGGGACCGAUCGGUUCAGCCUUGAUUCUUAAUGCUCGCACACGCGAGAUCUGGGCCGUCAGACGCCCACUCGCCUACUGGCGUGAUGGGUUCGGAUUUGGAACAGUUCAACAUCUAGACGAACGCGGGGACAAAGGCGCCGUAAGCUCUGCGGCGUCACCCUGCGGGGCUGUAAGCCAUCGACUCACCUUCCACACGGCGUAAUUCUGCCAGCGGAGUUGGUUUGGAUCUUCGGAUCAGGUGAGGGCUUGUCAGCAGCCCGUCGACGAGUUGCCGAGUCCAGUCCGUUCCCACGCGCGUGGGAUCUCAGCCGGGCCGGGGGCAAAUUCGGCCCCUUAAAAUCGGUUUUCUUGGGAAGGAUUUUUUGUGCCUUUCCAAGAUUUAUCGGUGGAUGCGUGGUGUGUUCCGUGGCCGACAUACCAGGAGCCACCAGAUGUCCUACUGCCGUGUGCGGGCCCCGUUCCAUCGUCCCUCGGACGCUCUGGAAAGCGAUACGUCUCAGCCGGUCGGUGACCUGCUAGUUAAAAUUUCUUCGCGCCGGCCGCGUUGACCCCGGUCCACUGGAUCGAGUGCGUCCGCGGGCUCUGCGGGCCUCCCAGGCCCGUGGACAGUCUGGCGUAAGAGAUCCUCUAUACCAACUCCCGGACCCCUUGUCUAUGUGUACUCUCGUUUCCUCGGCGGGCUCGCCCGCCAAACGGGACAAACAAACCCAUUUUUGCAGUGGAAGUCUCUGUCUGAACAAUACAAACCUUAUUAAAACUUUCAACAACGGAUCUCUUGGUUCUGGCAUCGAUGAAGAACGCAGCGAAAUGCGAUAAGUAGUGUGAAUUGCAGAAUUCAGUGAAUCAUCGAAUCUUUGAACGCACAUUGCGCCCUUUGGCUAUUCCAUAGGGCAUGCCUGUUCGAGCGUCGUCUCAAACCUUCAAGCCUAGCUUGGUGUUGGGUGACUGUCCCGCCUCUCCGCGCGGACUCGCCUCAAAGUCAUUGGCAGCAGACUCGGUAGCUAAUUGCGCAGCACAUCGCGCCAGAGGCUCCGGGCCCGCUCUCCACGAGCACAGUCUCAUCAGUUUGACCUCGGAUCAGGUAGGGAUACCCGCUGAACUUAAGCAUAUCAAUAAGCGGAGGAAAAGAAACCAACAGGGAUUGCCCUAGUAACGGCGAGUGAAGCGGCAACAGCUCAAAUUUGAAAUCUGGCUCCUUCCGGGGUCCGAGUUGUAAUUUGUAGAGGGUGCUUUGGCGUCGGCCAUGGUCUAAGUUCCUUGGAACAGGGCGUCACAGAGGGUGAGAAUCCCGUACGUGGCCGCUGGCCUUCGCCAUGUAAAGCCCCUUCGACGAGUCGAGUUGUUUGGGAAUGCAGCUCUAAAUGGGAGGUAAUUUCUUCUAAAGCUAAAUAUUGGCCAGAGACCGAUAGCGCACAAGUAGAGUGAUCGAAAGAUGAAAAGCACUUUGGAAAGAGAGUCAAAAAGCACGUGAAAUUGUUGAAAGGGAAGCGCUUGCAGCCAGACUUGCCCGUAGUUGCUCAUCCAGGCUUCGGCCCGGUGCACUCUUCUGCGGGCAGGCCAGCAUCAGUUCAGGCGGUCGGAUAAAGGUCCCGGGAAUGUGGCUCUCUUCGGGGAGUGUUAUAGCCCGGGCGUAAUGCGGCCAGCUUGGACUGAGGUCCGCGCAUCUGCUAGGAUGCUGGCGUAAUGGCUGUAAGCGGCCCGUCUUGAAACACGGACCAAGGAGUCUAACAUCUAUGCGAGUGUUUGGGUGUCAAGCCCGAGCGCGUAAUGAAAGUGAACGGAGGUGGGAACCCGCAAGGGCGCACCAUCGACCGAUCCUGAUGUCUUCGGAUGGAUUUGAGUAAGAGCAUAGCUGUUGGGACCCGAAAGAUGGUGAACUAUGCCUGAAUAGGGUGAAGCCAGAGGAAACUCUGGUGGAGGCUCGCAGCGGUUCUGACGUGCAAAUCGAUCGUCAAAUUUGGGCAUAGGGGCGAAAGACUAAUCGAACUAUCUAGUAGCUGGUUCCUGC
Molecule: unclassified non-coding RNA, 2422 nt
Filed under: uncultured fungus
Lineage: Eukaryota; Fungi
Description: sequence contains 18S rRNA gene, ITS1, 5.8S rRNA gene, ITS2, 28S rRNA gene
Rfam family: Eukaryotic large subunit ribosomal RNA (bases 1482-2422)
Source: RNAcentral